UCUAACCUGCCCACUGAAAAAUUUUAAAUGGCUGCAGUAAUUUGACUGUACAAAGGUAGCAUAAUCAUUAGUUUUUUAAUUAAAAGCUUGUAUGAAAGGUUGGACGAGGUAAAAUCUGUCUCUUUUUAAUAUAAUUAGAAUUUAAUUUUUAAGUAAAAAAGCUUAAAUUUUUAUAAAAGACGAGAAGACCCUAUAGAGUUUAAUAAUUAAAAUAAGAUAAUUAAUUUAGAUUUAUUAAUUUUAUUUUAUUUAAAUUAUUUUAUUGGGGUAAUAAAAAGAUUUAGGAAAUUCUUUUUUUUAAAACCAUUAAUUUAUGAUUAUAUGAUCCAUUAAUAAUGAUUAUAAGAUUAAAUUACCUUAGGGAUAACAGCGUAAUUUUUUUAAAGAGUUCUUAUCGAUAAAAAAGUUUGCGACCUCGAUGUUGGAUUAAAGAUUAAUUUAGGUGUAGAAGUUUAAAUAUUUGGUCUGUUCGACCAUUGAAUCUUUACAUGAUCUGAGUUCAAACCGGUGUAAGCCAGGUUGGUUUCUAUCUUUAUUUUUUUUUUAUAUUUUAGUACGAAAGGACCAAAUAUAAAAUAUAUUAAUAUUUAAUUUUUGAAUAUUAUU
RNAcentral lists this ribosomal RNA (606 nucleotides) under Trechisibus sp. TRM2. RNAcentral describes it as "partial 16S ribosomal RNA". The stretch from base 363 to 521 matches the Rfam family "Bacterial large subunit ribosomal RNA", at positions 2473 to 2632 of the family's 2925-position model. Lineage: Eukaryota; Metazoa; Arthropoda; Insecta; Coleoptera; Carabidae. The record is from RNAcentral.